UGGUUUUAGAUAGUUAAGAGGGAUCUGAGCAAAAGUUUCGUUUCAGAAUUAAACCAGUUUAAAAAAACAUUAUAUAACAUUAUAUAAAUGUUUUCUAAUAACUAAAAAUAUUAAGUCAAUAAGGAAACUAUUUAAAGAACAAAAAAUUUGUUUUUUAAGUUAAGAGGGAUCUGAGCAAAAGUUUCGUUUUAGAAUUAAACAAGUUUAAAAAAACAUUAUAUAACAUUAUAUAAAUGUUUUCUAAUAACUAAAAAUAUUAAGUCAAUAAGGAAACUAUUUAAAGAACAAAAAAUUUGUCAUUACGAAUGUAAACACUAUGAGGCUAAACUAAAGAAUCAUGAAAGCGAAGUUGUUAUAUUGCCAAAUGUUUAGUGUAAUAAACCAGCUUAGUAUGUUUGUUGAUAUUUUACUUUAGUUUAACUGUCUAACUGUGUUUUAAUCUAGAAAUGUGAGCUUUGCAUAGCUGCGUGCGUAGCUGCGUUGCUGCUGCUAUAUUUGUUAGUUUAUUUUUUUUAACUACAUUGCUGCAUUGCAGAGUUUUACAGUCUUAAUUUUUUAAUGGGGGUAUUCUGCAGUUUAGCCAAUUGGUGAACAGUAAGCUUGUAUAGUUAGAGAGUUUAAUAUGAAAAAAUAGUAAGGUUCAGUAGUUAGUUAAAAUCUAUAGAUGACUCUAGAGAACUUCAAUGCUAAUUUUUGUUUGUUGUCAUUUAAAAGAACUUGUAAGACACAUGGCAAGGUUCAUUUCUACAUCAUGCACAUACACCUCAUGCAGCAAUUUUUUGACUUUGUUGUUCAAUUAUAACAAAUAAAUAUGCCAGGAUAGCUAAGGGAGUCUAUUUAGCUAACUAUUUAGUGAUGUCUGUCCACCCAGGUGGCUAUAUGUUACACUCGCCCAAAAAUAAAUCGUCGUUAAGGAUUUACUUACUAAAAACCAAUGCAUUUUGUGUGAGACUUAAGGAAGUGUUUUUAGAUACUGUUUUAAACUGCGUGUUGGACAAGAAUUGAUAGAGAUAGAUGGAUGUGCAUAUUUUACAUGGCUAGCCUCACUAUUAUCGAGGGAUAUACCCUGUCUAUUAUUUCCAGGAGGGGCCAUGGCUUAGAUGGAGAGUCCUAGAGUAGUUAAUGCUCGUUGAGCUACGACGCAGAUCCAGUUAGGGCCCACGCUCUACUAGACAACUCCCGGCAACAUCCAACGGCCCACACAUGGAGCCAUCUCUCCAAUUUCCCUCACAUGGCUUGGGUUAACCCGGGGCUAUGGUAACAUUCACUCACCCACGUUGAAUCGCCGUCAAGAGGAAUCGAACCCCGGUCUCCCGCACGCACGGCUGUUUCGCUACGGUCAAACCGCGGACAAAAUUAAAAUGGCUUCCACAAUUUUUUUUGAAAUUUUGUAUUUUUAUCAUUUUUUAAGUUUUUGAAACUUUUUUUGUAUUGUUUUAAUUUUACUGAAAUAAAAAGUAUUAAAACGACCUACUUUUCUUCUUUUUUAAUAUAUAAAUAUGUUAUACAUGUGUGUUAUGGAUUUCGAGUUAUUUCGUCGAAUAAAACACACAAAAUUAAAAAAAAACAUUAUUUUUGGCGAAAGUAUACCAUCUUUCCAACCUCGUGGCAACGCCGCGCUACUAGCUACGGACUUGAAAAUUGGUAUGGGGGGCCUGGAAACAUGGUUCUAUUGGCCGGUACCGUGCACCGUUCGUCUCGCAAACUAUAAACUACUUAAAUUUUAAGUUAAAGUCUUCUUUAGGCGCUAAAAAAGAGGAGAAAAAGUUGCCAAAGUGGUGCACGGCGAUUUGAUGUAGUGUGAUCCCUUUUCUGUCUAAUUAAAUAAUUAUCUAAACUUCUAAGAGAGUCAUAGCGAUGCCAUUUAAUGUUUUGUUAGGUAUGGUUUUUCUCAAAAAAAUUACGGCGGCGUGGUGUUUACCUUGGACUUGAUUGCUCGACCCGGGAAUCCUGGUUCGAAACCGGAAUUUUUCGAAAAUGUUGGAAUAAGCGAGACAACGGUGUCUUUGCAAUUUUUUAGCUAGCUAAAGUUUGGCAGAGCACGAGUUAAGACUUUGGUGGGCUUUCUCAAGAUGAAAUUGUUAAAAUCAAAGAUGUUUUUAGCUACCUAGCUAGCUAAUCUUGGCUUUAACACAAGAUUGGGUGCUAUUUUAUACAGUUUAUAAAGAAACACAAAAUGAUUGCUUUGUAUAUAUAUAAUAAAUAAAAUAUUUAUGCACAACUUGAGGUAUUUUCUUCUAGCAUGAUAAACUAAA
This is a long non-coding RNA of Hydractinia symbiolongicarpus, 2255 nucleotides long. RefSeq lists it as uncharacterized. NCBI's taxonomy places the organism in Eukaryota, Metazoa, Cnidaria, Hydrozoa, Anthoathecata, Hydractiniidae. The record is from RefSeq and is a predicted model, not a curated record. The transcript is spliced from 2 exons.